AGGCAUGGUGGUGCAUGCCUGUGGUCCCGGCUACUAGGAAGGCUGAGGAGAGAGGAUCACUUGAGCCCGAGAGUUCUGGGCUGUACAACACUGCAUCUGAUUAGCUCUCAGAUGUCCAUAUUCAAUUCAUUAUCACUAUGGUGACCUCCUGGGGGCAGGAGACCACUAGGUUGCCAAAGGUGGGGUGAACUGGCCCAGAUUGGAAACCUAGCAGAUCAAAAACUCCCGUGCUGAUCAGUAAUGGGACUGCACCUGUGAAUAGCCCGUGUUGCUCACUCCAGCCUGGGCAACAUAGUGACACCACAUCUCU
This 310-nucleotide signal recognition particle RNA is filed under the name Saimiri boliviensis boliviensis (Bolivian squirrel monkey). RNAcentral's name for it is "Metazoan signal recognition particle RNA (ENSSBOG00000005280.1)". It matches the Rfam family "Metazoan signal recognition particle RNA". From Rfam's summary of the family: The signal recognition particle (SRP) is a universally conserved ribonucleoprotein. It is involved in the co-translational targeting of proteins to membranes. Lineage: Eukaryota; Metazoa; Chordata; Mammalia; Primates; Cebidae. The record is from RNAcentral.